ACUGAUAAUCUCACGCCAGCCAGUUGACAAGCUGACAACCCUUUGAAAUUAAACUAUAAAUGAACGAAAUAAUAAAUACAGCGGAGGCAUAAAACAAAAACAAUUGAAUUGGUAUAUUUUGUCAGCUGAUUUUUCCUUUCAGGAGAUUUAGGGGCCGUAGAAAUAAGAUGACGGUACGUGCUGAUGAGGAUGAUGGCGUCAAUUAAGGGGGCUACAUAAGCAAACUGGCAUGUGUUCUGUGUCAAGAUUAGGUCCAGUCUGAGUUAAAGAAAGAAAAACAGAGGGUACUUUUAAUCAGAGAUAUUUAAACUCACAAUUGAGUUGCUUAGUGAAGCUGAUCUAAUAAAUAUGAACGAAUAUGAGAAGCAUUUUAGCCGUCCGACGCCGAAAGCCUUUCUGAGGGAGUUUUGUGCCACUGGAAGGAAAGAUUCCUUCGGAUCGCGAGUUAAGAAACUGCUGCAUGGAAAAUUAUCCCAAUCAGUGAAUCUCCGGAGGAAAAGUCGACGAAAUAACCCGUGCCGCAAUCCCCAAAACGAGGUGGUUUUAGAGACUAUUCAUGGCAUCACGGCUUUCAGCGAUAGCGGCCUGGCCUGUGACCCCCACGCCGGAGUGGUGGCCUAUCCCGCCGGGUGUGUAGUUGUCAUCCUGCGUCCCAAAGAGAGAACACAGAGUCACAUAGUGAACUCUUCCAGGAAAGCUUUCACUGCCUUGGCCUUUUCGCAGGAUGGGAAAUACUUGGUUACUGGUGAACAUGGUCACAAGCCUUGCGUGCGAGUGUGGGACACGUCCAAGGGGACGGAAUUGGCAGAGGUGCAGUGUCAUCAGUACGGAGUUACCUGCGUGGCAUUCGAUAGCAGCGGGGACUACGUUGUGUCAGUGGGCUGCCAGCAGGACAUGGCUGUCAGCGUAUGGGAAUGGAGGAAGGGAGUUGUAAUAGCCUCAAACAAGGUGUCCGGCAGAGUGCUGACUAUGUCAUUCUCAGAGGACAGCAGCUAUUUUGUCACAGCAGGAAACAGAAUGAUUAAGUUCUGGUAUCUGGACACCUCCAGAAAUAGACAGGUGAAUGGCACGGUGCCUCUGACUGGCCGGCCAGCACUGCUGGGGGAACAGUGGAAUAGUACCUUUUGUGGUUUAGCGUGUGGGCGGGGCCACAUGGCCGGCAGCACUUACUGUGUCACCAUCCAAGGUCUGCUCUGCCGGUUUAAUAGCAGGAGGUUGCUGGAAGCCUGGGUUGAUCUGAAGACUGCCCCAGUGCACUGUUUAUCCGUCAGCGAAGAUUAUGUCUUCUGUGGCUGUGCCGAUGCUACUGUGCGAGUAUUUAAGCCCUCAGACCUUUGUUACAUUACCACCUUGCCUCGUCCUCAGAACCUCUGCAUGGACAUUACAAAGAGUGGUGAAGCAAGAGAUCUGCUUGCUGAUGAUCAGGUGGCAGGUUAUCCUGAUACACUUGCCCUGGCCUUUGAUCCUCUGGCAAGAUAUCUGACGUGUGUCUACAGUAACCACAGCGUGUAUGUGUGGGAUGUUUGUAACAUCAGAAAUGUGGAGGUGGUCUACUCCGCCCACUCCCAUAGUAACGGUGUCUGGAGUGUAGAGAUGUACCCUAAUAUGGAGGAGCAGGCUGAGCCAUGUCUGACGGUGGGAUCCUUCGUCACCUGCUCCUCUGACUGCACUAUCCGGCUCUGGCCUGGAGACCCCAGUACUUACAUUCCAGCCAGUGUUUCCACUGCAGACCCUGGGCAGGUAGUGUGGCUCAAGAAGGAUAUGGAGCAGCAAUGGAUUGUGGGUGAACCCAGAGAGGCCAGGAGCUCUCAUGUGAAACCAGGGAUUAGAGUGAUGAGUGUCAGUCCUGAUGGUCUGCAUCUGGCUGCUGGAGACUGGGGUGGCUCCCUGCGUGUCUUCUGCUUGCAGUUCUUGCAUGAGUUGUUGCACAUAAAGGCUCAUGACUCUGAAGUUCUGUGUCUGGAGUUUUCUCCGGCUUUCACCGGCCUGGAUUUGUUGGUCUCUGCAGGCCAUGAUGGCUGUAUUCACAUUUUCAACAGGGAGAAUGGGUAUAGCCAUGAGCGGACGGUAUGUGACCACUCUACCUCCAUUAUCGCCAUCAAGUUCACAGGUGCUUUUCCCAACGCCGGCUUGGUGAGCUGUGGAGGCGACGGAAGCGUUUAUUUAUACAGCACUGAAAAGGGCCAGCUCUCUUGCUCGAGUCGCAUAGUGACGAAAACCGCCGUGAAUGAUAUGAGCCUGGAUGCCGCAUCAAGUCACUCUGUCGUUGCCUGUCAGGAUCAGCAUAUCAGGGUUUACAGCCUGAAGAGUGGAAAGAUGACGAAGACUAUCAAAAGCCCUCUGAGUGAUGUCACUUUUCUUAAAAUGCAGAUGGAUGUUUCUGGCACUUUCCUAGCUACCAGCUGCUCAAACGGUACCAUCUGCAUCUUCGACUACUCAUCCGGUGACUGUGUGGUGACUCUCUUUGGACAUUCAGAUUCUGUGACAGGAAUACAGUUCAGCCAUGACUGCCGCCACCUUAUUACUGUAUCGGGAGACAGCUGUGUGUUUGUCUGGAGACUUGCUUCCGAAAUGACAAAGGCCAUGAGGAAGAACCUGGCUGAUAUCAUACAGAGAAAUUCUUCAUCUUGUAGCUUUUCCGAAACCACCAUCAGCCAGCUCCUGGCCAGAAAGCAGACAUGUGAAGAUGUACGUGGACCUCUGACUCCAGCUGAGGUGAUUAGGGGGCAGAACCAGGAGGAACGGGGUGAGAACAUCCUCACCUACUCCAGUCACGAUGAAGUGACAAAAUCAAGAGCAGACCCUGGUUAUUCUCUACAUGUCCCCCCCCUAUCAGUUACCCUGACCCCUCUGCAGACAAAUGGUGAGCCCAUGUUGGCCAGGACACUGUCUCCCCAGGCCCUGUGUUCUUUCGCCAACCCUGGCAAAGAGCAGAGGGGGGGCUCAUACCAGCCCCGGGCCCGGUGGGCUGAACAUUCCGAUCCGGAGGCUGUUCUCCUGGCCCUGGAGACUCAGAGCUUACGGAGCCCCCUCACUCCCAGCCCAGGCGGGAAGGAUGCAGCGAACGAGGGUGACCCCUUUGGACACCAUAAGCAGAGCCUUUAUGAAGGGGACCUGGAAGAUUAUCUAUGUCUGGCCUGUCCAGAUAAGCAGAGGACAAAUGCUGGGUCAGAGCAAAGCCUCCCUGGGACGGACCUCCUUUUGCUGCCAUGUGAUCCGGAGAACUGGUCAUUGCAGACUGUCCCACCUGAGAUGACUGACCACAGUUUUCAUCCUACUAAUGGCUCAUCUUUGCAAAGUGAAGAGGAAGAGCUUGACUUCAGGAGUCUGCAUGAUGUCCCAUUGGUACACUGGAAGGAGACCACAGUUGACCUCAGUCUCAGCAGUGUCUGUGGUUCUGGUUCAGCUGAGAACCAGGCCUCCAACCUGGACUGGGCUUUUGUUGGUUCCUCAAGCCAAACUAGCUUUACAUGUUCCUUCAAGGAGGAGCUGAGAAGUAUCUCUCGGGCAGUUCCUAGUGUGGUAACAUGCAGUCCAGUCAAUGGUGCCUUUGACCCAAACCUGCAGGAAAGGCAGUGGCCGUCAAAGAGCCACGUUCCCCAUGGCUCUCCCAGUUCCCCUGCAGUUCCCGUGUCAGUCACCCCUAGGUGGUGUAAAGACUCCAGUAGAUGGGAGACGGCCUCUUGUCAUGCUGAUUCUGACAGCAUGUCAGCCAACUGCACCAAAACUAAGAUGUCAGAGAACAUCCUCCAACAAUCCAGACAUGCCAAACCUGGAUGCAAAUAUACUGGCAUCAAAGAUAAACCUAUGGAUCGCCUGAUGUCUCCAGGCCAAAGACGAUCUCUACCACGGUCCAGUGAUGACAUAUCCAGAUCUGUGCAAUGGGAUUCCAUGGGUACUGGCACUAGCCCCCAUUCCAAAGUCCUACACAACGGUUCUGACUAUGAGCUUGUCAGGCCCCAAGUGAGAAAACCUGAUAAACUGAGCAAUCAAAGAGCAAGAUCCACCCCUAUUCUAAAUACACCAAAAGAGCAUAAGGAGUGUCUACCUGUUUCAAUGAUCCAGCAAAGCCAGUCCACGACGACACCACGCAAGCCUUCAGCUUCCACCGACAAACUCCCAUCUCUGUGUCGUCACGUGUCAAGGGUAGGAUCUCGCCCUUCCAGUCCUGUGUGCAGGGUGCCUUCUCCCCUAGGCAGCCUGACCCGCAAGAGCUUCACUGUGACCCAACGAUCAGGCUUCACUCUGCCUGGGGAUGAGAGCGACAGUGAGGCGCAGCAGGAUGGAGUGAGGCCUGAAUGCAGCACAAAGAGGUCCUCCAUAUCAAACAACUCGAAGGUCCAGCCCGGUGGGACUUGGAGCUGUAGUCCAAAUGCCUCGACCCCAGAGACUGGCGUGGUUCUGUCUGAUCCCUCUUCCGCACACCUGAAAAGAGAGGGAACAGUAGAGGUGAAGUCAAACCUGCAUUCAUACUCGCAUACCUCUUCCUCUGGAGAUGCUAUGUCAACUUUGGCUCUACCACAGGAGAGCACUAUAUCCAACUCAGGUCAUUCCAUCGGUCUUCUGGUUUUGUUUGGAUGGCCUGGAGCCCAUCCGAGGCAGCACAGCGCACAAGGCUGGGGAACACCCUGGAUGGGGUGCCAUUGUCAUCCAAUUCAUACUAAAGACAACUCUUUAAAAUCCAUUUUUCCCUUCCAAAGCUUCAGUGUCAUGGCCUUUGUAAUUCUUCCAUUUCCCAGAAUCUAUUUGGGAUUAAUACAGACCAAAUCUUUUCUUCCUGCUAACGUGUAAAAAAAUAAAAUAAAAUAAAAUAAAUACACUAAAUACUUUUUUCCCCCAUGUAAGAUUAAUAAAUUACAUCAGUGUGUUCGCUCAGUCACAUGGGAGUCUAUAUAAUGCACAUGACUAAUUCCAUCCUAGAAUCAUUUGUAUGAAGGAGAAACUUACAACAUUGGCUGUAUCUCCAGAUGUCAUGAAUGGGCCAAGUGGACUGAACACCUGUAAACGGAUAGUGAGAGAUCUGAAACACUCUGUGACGGCAGCUGUUGGCUUGUACAGGAAGUUGUGCUUGAGCCAAGGCAGCCCAGAGCAGUGCUCACAAAUGAGAUUACUCCU
This is a non-coding RNA of Paramormyrops kingsleyae, 5115 nucleotides long. The record is from RefSeq and is a predicted model, not a curated record. Lineage: Eukaryota; Metazoa; Chordata; Actinopteri; Osteoglossiformes; Mormyridae.